GUGGUCCCCAAAGGGAAACUCCUUCCAGUGGAGGUGUGUGUGAGCUCUUGCCUCUCUACCCUCAGUUCCUGCAGUGUCUGUCCGAGCUUCAGCAGCAAAUCCAUCGAAAGCUCAAGGAUCUGGGCCGUGGGCAGGACUCAGACGGUGCCUGGAGUGACAUCUCCCUAUCAGACAUUGAGUCCAGCACCAGCGGCUCCAACAGCUCCCAGUCCGACGGCCUCCCUGCUCAUUUACUCAGUGUGGCAGAGAAGUUCCAUCAGAAGAAGAAGCGGCUGCGGACGAGGAAGGAGAGGAACGAGCUGCGUCAGAAAUACGCCUCGAGCCAGGGGCUGACGUGCCAAGACAAGACCCCGGUGGCGGGGGAGAGAAGGUUGGGGAGCCCCACCUGCCGGACCCACCAGCCUGUCAGCGCGGCGGCUCUGUGCACGGAGGACAGCUCUGGCAAACAGGGCAAGACUCCAGAAGCUGGCCUCGUUUCAGAUCUGCAGAGGAGAGAACCUAACGCCAGCCAGGAGGAGCAACCAGGUCUGGGUGCAAAGUGGUCUUGGCACACGUCGCAUGGUAGAAAGGGUGUGUGUGUGCGUAAUUAGGGAGUAACAGGAACUGGUCCAUAAUUAAAGCUGCUACCAAGUUUCCAUUAUAAACUCAGAUUUGUCACCCCACCUAAAACCCACAAACCAAAGAAAUUGCAGGCUCAGAAUUGGGAGGCUAGUUCUGGGGCAGAGGUCGAAUUUCU
This 736-nucleotide long non-coding RNA is filed under the name Chrysemys picta bellii (western painted turtle). Its description in RNAcentral is "lncRNA (ENSCPBG00000016940.1)". The record is from RNAcentral. Lineage: Eukaryota; Metazoa; Chordata; Testudines; Emydidae.